Molecule: long non-coding RNA, 1285 nt
Filed under: Gallus gallus (chicken)
Lineage: Eukaryota; Metazoa; Chordata; Aves; Galliformes; Phasianidae
Description: lncRNA (ENSGALG00010002222.1)
Source: RNAcentral
GUUAGGGUUAGGGUUAGGGUUAGGGUUCGGGUUAGGCUAAGGGUUAGGGUUAGGGUUAGGGUUAGGGUUUAGGGUUUAGGGUUAGGGUUAGGGUUAGGGUUAGGGUAGGGUUAGGGUUAGGGUUAGGGUUAGGGUUAGGGUUAGGUUAGGGUUAGGGUUAGGGUAGGGUUAGGGUAGGGUUAGGGUUAGGGUUAGGGUUAAGGUUAGGGUUAGGGUUAGUGUUAGGGUUAGGGUUAGGGGUAGGGUUAGGAUUAGGGUUAGGGUUAGGGUUAGGGUUAGGCUUAGGGUUAGGGUUAGGGUUAGGGUUAGGGUUGGGGUUAGGGUUAGGGUUAGGGUUAGGGUUAGGGUUUGGGUUAGGGUUAGGGUUAGGGUUAGGGUUAGGGUUAGGGUUAGGGUUACGGUUAGGGUUAGGGUUAGGGUUCGGGUUACGCUAAGGGUAGGGUUAGGGUUAGGGUUAGGGUUAGGGUUAGGGCUAGGGUUAGGGUUAGGGUUAGGGUUAGGGUUAAGGUUAGGGUUAGGGUAGGGUUAGGGUUAGGGUUAGGUUAGGGUUAGGGUUAGGGUUAGGGAUAGGCUAAGGGUAGGGUUAGGGUUAGCGUUAGGGUUUUGUCUAGGGUUAGGGGUAGGGUUAGGGUUAGGGUUAGGGUUAGGGUUAGGGUUAGGGUUAAAUUUAGGCUUAGGGUUAGGGUUAGGGUUAGGGUAAGGAUUAGGGUUAGGGUUAGGUUUAAGGUUAGGCUUAGGGUUAGGGUUAGGGUUAGGGUUAAGGUUAGGGUUAGGGUUAGGCAUAGGGUUAGGGUGAGGGUUAGGGUUAGGGUUAGGGUUAGGGUUAGGGUUAGGGUUAGGGUUAGGGUUAGGGUUAGGGUUAGGGUUAGGGUUAGGGUUAGGGUUUGGGUUAGGGUUAGGGUUAGGGUUGGGGUUAGGGUUAGGGUUUGGGUUAGGGUUAGGGUUAGGGCUAAGUUUUGGGUUAGGGUUAGGGUUAGGGUUAGGGUUAGGGUUAGGGUUAGGGUUAGGGCUAGGUUUAGGGUUGGGGUUAGGGUUAGGGUUUGGGUUAGGGUUAGGGUUAGCGUUAGGUUUAGGGUUAGGGUUUGGGUUAGGGUUAGGGUUAGGGUUAGGGUUUGGGUUAGGGUUAGGGUUAGGGUUAGGGUUAAGGUUAGGGUUAGGGUUAGGGUUAGGGUUAGGGUUAGGGUUAGGGUUAGGGUUAGGGUUAGGGUUAGGGUUUGGGUUAGGUUUAGGACUAGGGUUCUGAUUAGGGCUAGGGUUAUGGUUAAGUUUAGUUAUGCUGUCUUCA